GCCCGCCUAGCUCAAUCGGAUAGAGCGUCAGACUCUUACGGCGGUGUCAUCUGAAGGCUGCGAGUUCGACCCUCGCGGUGGGCU
Lentinula aciculospora is the source of this 84-nucleotide non-coding RNA. NCBI's taxonomy places the organism in Eukaryota, Fungi, Basidiomycota, Agaricomycetes, Agaricales, Omphalotaceae. The record is from the annotation of a GenBank genome assembly.